RNAcentral lists this ribosomal RNA (253 nucleotides) under uncultured bacterium. RNAcentral's name for it is "partial 16S ribosomal RNA". It matches the Rfam family "Bacterial small subunit ribosomal RNA", at positions 524 to 776 of the family's 1533-position model. The record is from RNAcentral.
UACAGAGGGUGCGAGCGUUAAUCGGAAUUACUGGGCGUAAAGCGCACGUAGGUGGCGACGUAAGUCGGGUGUGAAAGCCCCGGGCUCAACCUGGGAAUUGUAUUCGAGACUGCAUUGCUGGAGUACGGAAGAGGAAGGCGGAAUUCCCGGUGUAGCGGUGAAAUGCGUAGAUAUCGGGAGGAACAUCAGUGGCGAAGGCGGCCUUCUGGUCCAGUACUGACACUCAAGUGCGAAAGCGUGGGGAGCAAACAGG